UACGUACGGCGCAAGCGUUGUCCGGAAUUAUUGGGCGUAAAGAGCUCGUAGGCGGUUUGUCGCGUCUGGUGUGAAAACUCAAGGCUCAACCUUGAGCUUGCAUCGGGUACGGGCAGACUAGAGUGUGGUAAGGGUGACUGGAAUUCCUGGUGUAGCGGUGGAAUGCGCACAUAUCAGGAGGAACACCGAUGGCGAAGGCAGGUCACUGGGCCACUACUGACGCUGAGGAGCGAAAGCAUGGGGAGCGAACAGG
Molecule: ribosomal RNA, 253 nt
Filed under: Flavimobilis sp.
Lineage: Bacteria; Bacillati; Actinomycetota; Actinomycetes; Micrococcales; Jonesiaceae
Description: partial 16S ribosomal RNA
Rfam family: Bacterial small subunit ribosomal RNA
Source: RNAcentral